UCCCCAGUAGCUCAAUGGUAGAGCAGGCGACUCAUAAUCGCUAGGUUGCUGGUUCGAGUCCAGCUUCGGGGAA
This 73-nucleotide transfer RNA is filed under the name Caudoviricetes sp. RNAcentral's name for it is "tRNA-Met". It matches the Rfam family "tRNA". From Rfam's summary of the family: Transfer RNA (tRNA) molecules are approximately 80 nucleotides in length. Their secondary structure includes four short double-helical elements and three loops (D, anti-codon, and T loops). Lineage: Duplodnaviria; Heunggongvirae; Uroviricota; Caudoviricetes. The record is from RNAcentral.